Molecule: ribosomal RNA, 428 nt
Filed under: Pseudomonadota bacterium
Lineage: Bacteria; Pseudomonadati; Pseudomonadota
Description: Proteobacteria bacterium partial 16S ribosomal RNA
Rfam family: Bacterial small subunit ribosomal RNA
Source: RNAcentral
UGGGGAAUAUUGGACAAUGGGCGAAAGCCUGAUCCAGCCAUGCCGCGUGUGUGAAGAAGGUCUUCGGAUGUAAAGCACUUUAAGUUGGGAGGAAGGGCAGUAAGCGAAUACCUUGCUGUUUUGACGUUACCGACAGAAUAAGCACCGGCUAACUCUGUGCCAGCAGCCGCGGUAAUACAGAGGGUGCAAGCGUUAAUCGGAAUUACUGGGCGUAAAGCGCGCGUAGGUGGUUCGUUAAGUUGAAUGUGAAAGCCCCGGGCUCAACCUGGGAACUGCAUCCAAAACUGGCGAGCUAGAGUAGGGCAGAGGGUGGUGGAAUUUCCUGUGUAGCGGUGAAAUGCGUAGAUAUAGGAAGGAACACCAGUGGCGAAGGCGACCACCCGGGCUCAUACUGACACUGAGGUGCGAAAGCGUGGGGAGCAAACAGG